UCUCCUCCUGCUCCACCCUCUACAGAGCCAGGCUUCCUGGUGCCCCAGCCAGGCCAGCAACUGAGUUAGGGUUGGGAUCUGCGCCUUCUCAGGGACCGGGAGAGUGUGCCUUCAUCAAGGCUCCCAGUCGAGCUUUCCCAGUUGCACUGGGGCUGAGCUGAGAAUUCCCCUGGGUUUCUAUGUGGGUCCCUAAACACAUCCCAAUAUUGGUGAUGGGUGCUGCUUUAGGGGGUCAGCAAAGAAUGGAGAAUGUGGUCCCAAGCUCACUGCCUCAGUGGUGACAGUGUGGACAUUCAACCUAUUGUGUCAGCUUGGCCACCCACCUCCCUCACGUUGCUGUGGUGGGCAGUAUGCCCACUGCUUCUCCAUCCAUGAAGCACCUACUGCCUGGGUUGGCUGUGCCAAGGCUGGUACUUGGUGAGCCUCCCCAGGGCCCAGCAGAUAGGAGGAGCAAGGGAGAAACAGGAACAGGACCCCAGGAACAAGCCAUGGACACCAGUCAUGGAACCCUAGAGCCAGAGGGCGGCCUCUAAGGCCUCACGCUCCAGGGGCACCCACAGAGGCAAAGCCAUUUGCUAGACGUCACAUACGGAAUACUAAAGCCAAAGCCAAGCCUGGGGGACAGACAGGCUAGCGGAUGGCCGACCUAGAGGACGGCUGAGGACCGAGGAGACGGUCGAGCUAGGGGAUGGAUGACCUAGGGGACAGCCAGGCUAGGGGAUGGAUGACCUAGGGGACGGCCAGGCUAGGGGAUGGAUGACCUAGGGGACGGCGAACCUAGGGGAUGGAUGACCUAGGGGACGGCCAGGCUAGGGGAUGGAUGACCUACGGGACGGUCGAGCUAGGGGAUGGAUGACCUAGGGGACAGUCGAGCUAGGGGAUGGAUGACCUACGGGACGGUCGAGCUAGGGGAUGGAUGACCUACGGGACGGCCAGGCUAGGGGAUGAAUGACCUAGGGGAAGGCCAACCUAGGAGACAGAUGACAUGGGAGACAACCGAGCCACGGGCAGCUGACCUGACUUCCUCAUGGCGUGGAGUCAGCCUGAGCGAGGGCUGGGUGCUGUGCCUAUUCAAGACAUGGAUGCUAAAGAGGAAAACAAACCAAACAAAGACAGCCAUAAAGGACAUUUUGGGAACAAUUAAAUUCAACUGAGGACUGGAUGAUAGUGUAAAUGUGUAAUAUUAUCAAAUUGUUAAGUUCCUUGCAAGUGAUAAAGACACUGUUAAUGUACUUUUAUGUAGGAAAGUUAUAUAGGAGAAUGUCUGAGUUCUUAGGAAGUCCAUCCUAAAAUGUUUAGGGACGAAGGGUCGUGGUAUCUACCAAUGAUUCAUUACAAAAGGUCAUAUAAAAGAUGACAUAUAGAUGAAGCGUGUGGCAAAAUGGUAACCUUUGGCAGACAUGGGUGAGAGGCAUGUGGGUGUUCAUUGUCUUCCUCUUUCAACUUUCCUGUGGGUUUAAAUCUUUCAAAAUAAGUGUGGGGAACAGGGGCUCUAAAGUGAGGAUGGGGUUUGACCUGCCUCGGAAGGAGGAAGCCCCUUCUGCCAGGCCAGGAUCCUGGGGCCACUCCAGCAGCAGACGCCUCCUCCCGCCUCACAGCAUCUGUGAAACAAGAGCCUGGGUUUUGUUUUGUUAUAAACGUUUAAACCAGUCAAAAUACUUAUUUUUUAUUUAAAAUGUUUAUUAUAGAAAAUUUAGGAUAAUUCAGACUUUUAAAAAGUCACCUGUAGCCCGACCUACAAGAGAGAACUUGCGUUUACCUCUUUUCUAAUUGCUCCCAUUUGACUUUAAAUACAAGCAACGCAGCUGCCUCUUGAGCCCUGCGGCCCACCAGGGUGUGGCCUGGGUACCCUGCCACCCCGCAUCCAGAUUCACAGCAGAACGUCAGCUCCUGUGGCUGGCCACCACCUCAGGCACACAGGGACGGGUGGUGACUUCGCCCCUCCCAGCCUGGAAAACGGGUAGAUUGUGGGAAGGCAGCCACUGCCCCCCAUUACUGUUGACAUCAGCCAUAGGCGAAGAUGUUAGUGCUGUUCCUUAGGGUGUGGUCCAUAGUUCCUGUGGGCUUUUUGCAAGCCGCUUCGGGAAAUCAUCUGUCUCUUUUUCUGAACCGGCUUGUUCUCAUAACGACAUUCUCUUGCUCUGAUUUGUGGGAGAGGUGGGUCCACCUGAGGCAGGCGGGACACAGGUGCUCAAAGUUGAAGGAGGCAAAUUUAUUCUUCCCUCGCCUGUAGGCUUGGGAAGCACAGCUCCGCACAAGGCCGCCCCACAGAUGGGAUGGAUGGAGCAACAGGGAGCGCGGCUGGGGUUGCAGCCUGCCUGGAAUUCUCAGGACUUCCCUGUCUUGUGCGCCACCACACACCCUGGUUUCCUUAAUGCCUUUCAGCCGUUUAAUAUGGCUGGUGAGACCACAAGAGCAGAUGUGACUCACCUUGACCCUCAGAGCGGCUCUGCACAAGGUGUGAUGGAAUGAGAAGAGGCUCCUGCUGCUGCCUGACGUGCUUUUGGUGAACAGCACUUACUGAUGCUAGUUCAAUUCCCUUUACCGGGCACAAUCAAGAAAUGGCAGCUGGGUGGCACACAGGAACACUGCCAGCGGAGGGCCUUUUGGGAGAGAUGGGCGGUUUCCCUCCCAGUUUUGCUGCAUCUGUCUCUGAGAGCAGGACCCCCUUUCCUCCCGCACCCCACUUCCACUCCCCCGGAGCAUUCAGCAGGAAGAAGUGGGCUGAAUUUCCACAAGCACAUGGUCACUCAAGGAGAAAAGCAUCUAGAAUCACAUAUUUUAACGGCUUUAACUUUACACAAGGGACAGUGAGAUGAGGCGAGUUUUGGGGGUGGUGAGGAAGAAGCUAUUUCUUCCCAGUAAAAGAGUGAACCCCGGCCGUAUUCAAAACCGGGUCCACUCAGACGCUGCCACUAGGAUCUUCACACCCAGAUUCCUACCUAGGCAGUCCUGUGUGACUUCGUGAAAAAUAAUCUCGUGUUUUAAGUCUUGUGUGUUUGUUUUCAACUUCUAACUUAUUUUGCUCCAUUUCUGUGUUCUUAAUUUUUAAUUUGUUAAUCAUUAUUAUUAUUACUAUUCUGUUUUGUUUUCUGAUGCCAUCCGCUUAAAAGUCGAUUUAUGUACCACACGCCUUGGCAUUCAGGAGAUCAUGUGCAUCAAAGCCAAGAACCUACACAGAGGAGGAACUGAAUGCCAAGCUGACCCGGCGUGUGCAAAAGGCAGCUCGGAGACAGGCCAAGCAGGAGGAGCUUAAGCGGCUGCAUCGAGCCCAGAUCAUCCAGCGGCAGCUGCAGCAGGUGGAGGAGAGGCAGCGGCGGCUGGAGGAGAGGGGCGUGGCCGUGGAGAAGGCGCUCCGGGGCGAAGCAGGCAUGGGCAAGAAGGACGACCCCAAGCUGAUGCAGGAGUGGUUCAAGCUAGUGCAGGAGAAGAACGCCAUGGUGCGCUACGAGUCGGAGCUGAUGAUCUUUGCCCGGGAGCUGGAGCUGGAAGACCGGCAGAGUCGACUGCAGCAGGAGCUCCGGGAACGCAUGGCAGUGGAAGAUCACCUUAAGACUGAGGAGGAGCUGUCAGAAGAGAAGCAGAUUCUCAAUGAGAUGCUGGAGGUGGUGGAGCAGAGAGAC
This 3623-nucleotide small RNA is filed under the name Pan troglodytes (chimpanzee). RNAcentral's name for it is "processed transcript". Lineage: Eukaryota; Metazoa; Chordata; Mammalia; Primates; Hominidae. The record is from RNAcentral.